Molecule: ribosomal RNA, 253 nt
Filed under: uncultured bacterium
Lineage: Bacteria
Description: partial 16S ribosomal RNA
Rfam family: Bacterial small subunit ribosomal RNA
Source: RNAcentral
UACGUAGGGGGCAAGCGUUGUCCGGAUUUAUUGGGCGUAAAGAGCUCGUAGGCGGUCUGUUGCGUCCGCUGUGAAAACUCGGGGCUUAACCCCGAGCCUGCAGUGGAUACGGGCAGACUAGAGGUAGGUAGGGGAGAAUGGAAUUCCAGGUGUAGCGGUGAAAUGCGUAGAUAUCUGGAGGAACACCGGUGGCGAAGGCGGCAUCCUGGACCGGUAUUGACGCUGAGGCGCGAAAGUGUGGGGAGCGAACAGG